CUCAGGUCUCUCUGUGCUGUGCAUGGAAGGAGAAACUUGGCUUUGGGGGAGAAGCACAAUCCCUGGUUUCGACAUUUAAAUGCCACUUACCUGCCACCCCCCAUCAUCCCAGAGGGGAAAUACCAUAGAAGGUCACCUAACGAUGUUAUCCAACAAAGAUGAAUGAUGAAGUGCCUUUUAUGGACAUUGUGCACUUUUUUUUAUAUACAAAAGUGAGGUAUGGUCCAAAAGAAGAAGAAACCUUUCUGCUAUGGCUUGGAACGCCUUGAGGAGACCACACCCUCAGUGAAGUUCAUUCGAGUGGGGUUGAUUUAUCUGAUUGUUCUCCCAUGUGUUUGUAAUACAUGAAUAAAAUCCAUGACCUACGUCUUCUCACCACAAAUGCUUGAGUGGUAAAACCAUCUUAAACAUCAAGGGCAUCAUCCCCACCAGGAAUAAAUAGUGACUGGAACGUGACCACUACUGAUGUCCUACUCUCCAUGGACCACACUUUCGAUAUCCAACCCCCCCGCACCUUAUUUAUCCUUUUGAUUCUGGAAAGAGUUUUGGACAACUGUGUCAAAUUCACAUUAUGGAGGUGUGAGCACAAACAUGGAAUUCUGUAUGUUGAUUAUGUUCAAACAUUAAUUUAACUGCAGGUUUACCUACCCAAACUGUUGAGAUAGUGAUGUGAAGAUGAUCUGACCAAGUGUGCUUGUGAAGAUAUGGAGGUAGAACUUGUUCACCACAGAGGACAAGUACAAUAUGUAGAACUAUUAAUUUUUUGGGGUGGGGCAAUGAGACUUAUGGCAUUGUCUUUUAGAUUAAGCCUUGUGUGAGGUAGGUGGGGGGUGUAGUUGUGUCCAAACAGACAGAACAAAUAGAACCUUGAUAGUCCUUUGGGUCAAUACUCACAAUGUGGAUGAUAUCUAAGUAGAGUUUGGAACAGAGGUUCAUUAUAUUGUACGUUUCUAGCUGAAACUGAGAUUUUGAAGGACAUCAUCUUGUUUGGGUAUAUUUAGACAAAACCCAGGCUAGUGUUAAGAUCUGAGCAUGGGUUAAUGGAACUCUCUUAAACAGGAUGGGCCUUUGCUAGGUGGAAGAGACCAUGCGGCGCGAGGGUGUAGUGAAACUACAACUCCCUGUAGCUGUGUGCAGUAAAGAUGGACGCCAGAAGGCUCUUACAGUUGAACUAUAAACAGAUUUAUUGUCAGA
Xenopus tropicalis (tropical clawed frog) is the source of this 1194-nucleotide long non-coding RNA. RefSeq lists it as uncharacterized. The record is from RefSeq and is a predicted model, not a curated record. NCBI's taxonomy places the organism in Eukaryota, Metazoa, Chordata, Amphibia, Anura, Pipidae. The transcript is spliced from 4 exons.